CCAAUAGCGUAUAUUAAAGUUGUUGCAGUUAAAAAGCUCGUAGUUGAACUUCAGGCCUGUCCAGAUGGUCCGCCUUAAUUGGUGUGUACUGUCCUUGGGUGGGUCCUACCUUCUGGCGAAGCGGCAUGGCCUUAGUUGGUUGUGUCGGGGAACCAGGACUUUUACUGUGAAAAAAUUAGAGUGUUCAAAGCAGGCAUAUAUGCUCGAAUACAUUAGCAUGGAAUAAUGGAAUAGGACGAUGGUUCUAUUUUGUUGGUUCUAGGACCGUUGUAAUGAUUAAUAGGGAUAGUUGGGGGCAUUAGUAUUCAAUUGUCAGAGGUGAAAUUCUUGGAUUUAUUGAAGACUAACUACUGCGAAAGCAUUUGCCAAGGAUGUUUUCAUUAAUCAAGAACGAAAGUUAGGGGAUCGAAGACGAUCAGAUACCGUCGUAGUCUUAACCAUAAACUAUGCCGACUAGGAAUCGGGCGAUGUUGACAAAAUGACUCGCUCGGCACCUCAUG
RNAcentral lists this ribosomal RNA (500 nucleotides) under uncultured Paraglomus. RNAcentral's name for it is "bacterial SSU rRNA". It matches the Rfam family "Eukaryotic small subunit ribosomal RNA", at positions 591 to 1092 of the family's 1831-position model. The record is from RNAcentral. Lineage: Eukaryota; Fungi; Glomeromycota; Glomeromycetes; Paraglomerales; Paraglomeraceae. RNAcentral also lists the same sequence under 1 other name.